UCACAGCCGCAGGGGUGUCCCUCUCUGCACUGCAGCAUGCGCCGUGCUGUGCACGACGUGGUGUUCUGUGACCAGGGGGACAGGCAAGGACUGGUUCCAUUCAGCGUUUCCUGCAAUCUACCCUCAGCCUUUAAUAAAUCCUCACAUGUGCGUUCGUUUUCCACAUUCACCGUAGUGCACAGCAUGAGCUGCAGCUGAAGGGUGCGAGGUCCCAGGUUGGCUGGACAUGGACAUGGGCAGGGACUGCGGCAGAAGGAACAGUUCCAAUAACUGGACUGGUUGCAGUUCAAAUCACUCAAGAAAUGUGUCAAAUAAACGGCUUGGGAAUCCCUCUGUA
This is a non-coding RNA of Lonchura striata (white-rumped munia), 337 nucleotides long. The record is from RefSeq and is a predicted model, not a curated record. NCBI's taxonomy places the organism in Eukaryota, Metazoa, Chordata, Aves, Passeriformes, Estrildidae.